AGUUUGAUCCUGGCUCAGAUUGAACGCUGGCGGCAUGCCUUACACAUGCAAGUCGAACGGCAGCACGGAGCUUGCUCUGGUGGCGAGUGGCGAACGGGUGAGUAAUAUAUCGGAACGUACCCUAGAGUGGGGGAUAACGUAGCGAAAGUUACGCUAAUACCGCAUACGAUCUAAGGAUGAAAGUGGGGGAUCGCAAGACCUCAUGCUCGUGGAGCGGCCGAUAUCUGAUUAGCUAGUUGGUAGGGUAAAAGCCUACCAAGGCAUCGAUCAGUAGCUGGUCUGAGAGGACGACCAGCCACACUGGAACUGAGACACGGUCCAGACUCCUACGGGAGGCAGCAGUGGGGAAUUUUGGACAAUGGGCGAAAGCCUGAUCCAGCAAUGCCGCGUGAGUGAAGAAGGCCUUCGGGUUGUAAAGCUCUUUUGUCAGGGAAGAAACGGUGAGAGCUAAUAUCUCUUGCUAAUGACGGUACCUGAAGAAUAAGCACCGGCUAACUACGUGCCAGCAGCCGCGGUAAUACGUAGGGUGCAAGCGUUAAUCGGAAUUACUGGGCGUGAAGCGUGCGCAGGCGGUUUUGUAAGUCUGAUGUGAAAUCCCCGGGC
Molecule: ribosomal RNA, 603 nt
Filed under: uncultured bacterium
Lineage: Bacteria
Description: bacterial SSU rRNA
Rfam family: Bacterial small subunit ribosomal RNA
Source: RNAcentral